AGAGCGAACGCUGGCGGCAGGCCUAAUACAUGCAAGUCGAACGGCUCUUCGGAGCAGUGGCGGACGGGUGAGUAACGCGUGGGAAUGUGCCCUUUGGUACGGAACAACUGAGGGAAACUUCAGCUAAUACCGUAUGUGCCCUUCGGGGGAAAGAUUUAUUGCCAUUGGAGCAGCCCGCGUUGGAUUAGCUAGUUGGUGGGGUAAAGGCCCACAAGGCGACGAUCCAUAGCUGGUCUGAGAGGAUGAUCAGCCACACUGGGACUGAGACACGGCCCAGACCUCCUACGGGAGGCAGCAGUAGGGAAUCGUGCGCAAGUGGGCGAAAGCCUGACGCAGCCAUGCCGCGUGAAAUCGAUGGAGGGUCUUAGGAAUUAGUAAAAUUCUUUCGACCGGGGAAGAAUAAUAGACCGGUACCCGGAGAACGGAACGCCCGGACUAACGUCGUCGACCAGCAGCCGAC
Molecule: ribosomal RNA, 460 nt
Filed under: uncultured soil bacterium
Lineage: Bacteria
Description: bacterial SSU rRNA
Rfam family: Bacterial small subunit ribosomal RNA
Source: RNAcentral